UCCAGACUCCUACGGGAGGCAGCAGUGGGGAAUAUUGCACAAUGGGCGAAAGCCUGGUGCAGCAACGCCGCGUGAAGGAAGAAGGGUUUCGGCUCGUAAACUUCUAUCAACAGGGACGAAAGAAAUGACGGUACCUGAAUAAGAAGCCCCGGCUAAAUACGUGCCAGCAGCCGCGGUAAUACGUAUGGUGCAAGCGUUAUCCGGAUUUACUGGGCGUAAAGGGAGCGCAGGCGGCGCGCCAAGUCUGAUGUGAAACCCCGGGGCUCAACCCCGGGCAUGCAUUGGAAACUGCCGGGCUGGAGUGCCGGAGGGGUAAGCGGAAUUCCUGGUGUAGCGGUGAAAUGCGCAGAUAUCAGGAAGAACACCGGUGGCGUAGGCGGCUUACUGGACGGCAACUGACGCUGAGGCUCGAAAGCGUGGGGAGCAAACAGGAUUAGAUACCCGUGUAC
This 449-nucleotide ribosomal RNA is filed under the name uncultured bacterium. RNAcentral's name for it is "partial 16S ribosomal RNA". It matches the Rfam family "Bacterial small subunit ribosomal RNA", at positions 330 to 793 of the family's 1533-position model. The record is from RNAcentral.